Molecule: ribosomal RNA, 392 nt
Filed under: Gammarus fossarum
Lineage: Eukaryota; Metazoa; Arthropoda; Malacostraca; Amphipoda; Gammaridae
Description: partial 16S ribosomal RNA
Rfam family: Bacterial large subunit ribosomal RNA
Source: RNAcentral
AACAUUUWAACGGUUGCGGUAUUCUGACUGUGCUAAGGUAGCGUAAUCAAUUGUUUUUUAAUUGAAAACUGGAAUGAAAGGUUAAACAAAUUACCUUAGUUUGUGCAGCUUGGUUAGUAAAUUAAAGUCAAGGUAAGAAUUCUUUGAUUUUCUAGGGGACGAUAAGACCCUAGAAGCUUUAAAAAAGAAAAAUUUUUAGUAGUUGUAUAUAUUUUUUACUGGGGCGGUAUUGGUGUUUUAACUACUAAAAAUAGAGGUCGAUCCUUUAGAUAAAGAUAAUUCGGUGAAGUUACUUUAGGGAUAACAGUGCGGUAUUCUUGGAAAGGUCUUAUUAAUAAGAAUGUUCGCAACCUCGAUGUUGAAUUAAGAUGUCUACGUGGAGCAGUAAAUAC